This 1525-nucleotide ribosomal RNA is filed under the name metagenome. Its description in RNAcentral is "bacterial LSU rRNA". It matches the Rfam family "Bacterial large subunit ribosomal RNA", at positions 500 to 1988 of the family's 2925-position model. The record is from RNAcentral.
AGCGUGAGUGAAAGGUGAAAAGAACCCCUGUUAGGGGAGUGAAAUAGAAUCUGAAACCAGAAACCUACAAGCGGUGAGAGGGCGUUAAUGCCUGAUCGCGUGCCUUUUGUAUAAUGAUCCGGCGAGUUACAGUCGAUUGCUUGGUUAAGUCUCUUCGGGACGGAGCCCUAGCGAAAGCGAGUGUGAAUAGCGCGUAGCCUUCGGGCAGGUAAGCGGCUGUAGACGCGAAAGCGAGUGAUCUAUCCAUGAGCAGGGUGAAACGGGGGUAAAACCCUGUGGAGGCCCGAACCCACUUAUGUUGAAAAAUGAGGGGAUGACUUGUGGAUAGGAGUGAAAGUCUAAUCAAACUCGCAGAUAUCUCGUUCUCCCCGAAAUAGCUUUAGGGCUAGCCUCGAGUUAUUGUGCGAUCGGGGGUAGAGAGACUGAUUGGGUCUGGGGGGCUACCCGCCUACCCUGCCCAGCCAAACUCCGAAUACUGGUCGCAUCAACCUCGGGAGUUAGACCAUGGGGGAUAAGCUCCAUGGUCGAGAGGGAAACAGCCCAGAUCGUCGGCUAAGGUCCCCAAAACAUACUAAGUGCUUAAGGAAGUGGAAGUGCGAAGACAGCCAGGAUGUUGGCUUAGAAGCAGCCACCAUUUAAAAAGUGCGUAAUAGCUUACUGGUCGAGCACUUUUGCGCCGAAAAUGAACGGGACUCAAGUAUGUUACCGAAGCCGCGGAUGGCUCACCCAUGGGUGGUGGGUCGUGGUAGGGGAGCGCUGUACGCGAGGUUGAAGCCGUACCGUAAGGAGCGGUGGACGACGUACAGGUGAGAAUGCCGGAACGAGUAGCGAUAAAGUAAGUGAGAAUCUUACUCGCCGUAAGCCUAAGGUUUCCUGGGGCAGGCAAUUCCGCCCAGGGUUAGUCGGAACCUAAGGCGAGGCCGAAAGGCGUAGUCGAUGGAUAGCAGGUUAAUAUUCCUGCACCAGCUUAUGUUAGCGAAGGAGGGACGGGAGUCUGAAGGUCAGCCUACGAUCGGAAGUUGUAGGUUCAAGCCUGAGGGGUUGUUCCAGGAAAAUCCGGAACGUUAUGGCCUCAGGGGCGAUGAGGAGUCCGACUCAGGGCGGAACUGAUUGAACGGCUCUCCAAGAAAAGCUUCUAAGUGUUUGAAGCAUAAGCUGUCCGUACUAAAACUGACACAGGUAGGCGGGGUGAGUAUCCUAAGGCGCUCGAGAGAAAUCACGUUAAGGAACUCGGCAAAUUGAGUCCGUAACUUCGGGAUAAGGACUGCUCGGAUGGGUGAUGGGAUUUACUCCUUGAGCUCGACUGAGUCGCAGAGAAAUGGCCCUGGCGACUGUUUAUUAAAAACACAGGUCUGUGCAAAGGCCAAAAGCCUACGUAUACAGACUGACACCUGCCCAAUGCCGGUAGGUUAAGAGGACGGGUUAGGACUUCGGUCCGAAGCUCAGAAUCGAAGCCCCGGUGAAUGGCGGCCGUAACUAUGACGGUCCUAAGGUAGCGAAAUUCCUUGUCGGGUAAGUUCCGACC